UACAGGGGGCUCGAGCGUUAGUCGGAAUCACUGGGCUUAAAGGGUGCGUAGGCGGCCCGCCAAGUGCUUUGUGAAAUCCCCGGGCUCAACCCGGGAACAGCAGGGCAAACUGGCGGGCUUGAAGCAGGUAGGGGCUGGAAGAACAGUUGGUGGAGCGGUGAAAUGCGUAGAUAUCAACUGGAAUGCCGAUGGGGAAGCCGUCCAGCUGGGCCUGUCUUGACGCUGAGGCACGAAAGCGUGGGGAGCAAACAGGAUUAGAUACCCUGGUAGUCCACGCCGUAAACGAUGUACACUAGACUGGUGCGGUUUUGACGCCGUAUCAGUCGCAGUAAAAACGAUAAGUGUACCGCCUGGGGAGUACGGUCGCAAGGCUAAA
Molecule: ribosomal RNA, 376 nt
Filed under: uncultured bacterium
Lineage: Bacteria
Description: bacterial SSU rRNA
Rfam family: Bacterial small subunit ribosomal RNA
Source: RNAcentral